This 71-nucleotide transfer RNA is filed under the name Marmota monax (woodchuck). Its description in RNAcentral is "tRNA.Ala". It matches the Rfam family "tRNA". Rfam says of the family: Transfer RNA (tRNA) molecules are approximately 80 nucleotides in length. Their secondary structure includes four short double-helical elements and three loops (D, anti-codon, and T loops). Lineage: Eukaryota; Metazoa; Chordata; Mammalia; Rodentia; Sciuridae. The record is from RNAcentral.
GGGGUUGUGGCUCUGUGGUAGAGCACUCACCUAGCAUGUGUGAGGCCCUGGGUUCCAUCCUCAGCACCACA